GAUUAAGUUAUUAAGGGCGCACGGUGGAUGCCUUGGCACUAGAAGCCGAUGAAGGACGUUACUAACGACGAUAUGCUUUGGGGAGCUGUAAGUAAGCUUUGAUCCAGAGAUUUCCGAAUGGGGAAACCCAGCAUGAGUUAUGUCAUGUUAUCGAUAUGUGAAUACAUAGCAUAUCAGAAGGCACACCCGGAGAACUGAAACAUCUUAGUACCCGGAGGAAGAGAAAGAAAAUUCGAUUCCCUUAGUAGCGGCGAGCGAAACGGGAAGAGCCCAAACCAACAAGCUUGCUUGUUGGGGUUGUAGGACACUCUAUACGGAGUUACAAAGGACGACAUUAGACGAAUCAUCUGGAAAGAUGAAUCAAAGAAGGUGAUAAUCCUGUAGUCGAAAAUGUUGUCUCUCUUGAGUGGAUCCUGAGUACGACGGAGCACGUGAAAUUCCGUCGGAAUCUGGGAGGACCAUCUCCUAAGGCUAAAUACUCUCUAGUGACCGAUAGUGAACCAGUACCGUGAGGGAAAGGUGAAAAGCACCCCGGAAGGGGAGUGAAAUAGAACCUGAAACCGUGUGCUUACAAGUAGUCAGAGCCCGUUAAUGGGUGAUGGCGUGCCUUUUGUAGAAUGAACCGGCGAGUUACGAUUUGAUGCAAGGUUAAGCAGUAAAUGUGGAGCCGUAGCGAAAGCGAGUCUGAAUAGGGCGUUUAGUAUUUGGUCGUAGACCCGAAACCAGGUGAUCUACCCUUGGUCAGGUUGAAGUUCAGGUAACACUGAAUGGAGGACCGAACCGACUUACGUUGAAAAGUGAGCGGAUGAACUGAGGGUAGCGGAGAAAUUCCAAUCGAACCUGGAGAUAGCUGGUUCUCUCCGAAAUAGCUUUAGGGCUAGCCUCAAGUGAUGAUUAUUGGAGGUAGAGCACUGUUUGGACGAGGGGCCCCUCUCGGGUUACCGAAUUCAGACAAACUCCGAAUGCCAAUUAAUUUAACUUGGGAGUCAGAACAUGGGUGAUAAGGUCCGUGUUCGAAAGGGAAACAGCCCAGACCACCAGCUAAGGUCCCAAAAUAUAUGUUAAGUGGAAAAGGAUGUGGCGUUGCCCAGACAACUAGGAUGUUGGCUUAGAAGCAGCCAUCAUUUAAAGAGUGCGUAAUAGCUCACUAGUCGAGUGACACUGCGCCGAAAAUGUACCGGGGCUAAACAUAUUACCGAAGCUGUGGAUUGUCCUUUGGACAAUGGUAGGAGAGCGUUCUAAGGGCGUUGAAGCAUGAUCGUAAGGACAUGUGGAGCGCUUAGAAGUGAGAAUGCCGGUGUGAGUAGCGAAAGACGGGUGAGAAUCCCGUCCACCGAUUGACUAAGGUUUCCAGAGGAAGGCUCGUCCGCUCUGGGUUAGUCGGGUCCUAAGCUGAGGCCGACAGGCGUAGGCGAUGGAUAACAGGUUGAUAUUCCUGUACCACCUAUAAUCGUUUUAAUCGAUGGGGGGACGCAGUAGGAUAGGCGAAGCGUGCGAUUGGAUUGCACGUCUAAGCAGUAAGGCUGAGUAUUAGGCAAAUCCGGUACUCGUUAAGGCUGAGCUGUGAUGGGGAGAAGACAUUGUGCCUUCGAGUCGUUGAUUUCACACUGCCGAGAAAAGCCUCUAGAUAGAAAAUAGGUGCCCGUACCGCAAACCGACACAGGUAGUCAAGAUGAGAAUUCUAAGGUGAGCGAGCGAACUCUCGUUAAGGAACUCGGCAAAAUGACCCCGUAACUUCGGGAGAAGGGGUGCUCUUUAGGGUUAACGCCCAGAAGAGCCGCAGUGAAUAGGCCCAAGCGACUGUUUAUCAAAAACACAGGUCUCUGCUAAACCGUAAGGUGAUGUAUAGGGGCUGACGCCUGCCCGGUGCUGGAAGGUUAAGAGGAGUGGUUAGCUUCUGCGAAGCUACGAAUCGAAGCCCCAGUAAACGGCGGCCGUAACUAUAACGGUCCUAAGGUAGCGAAAUUCCUUGUCGGGUAAGUUCCGACCCGCACGAAAGGCGUAACGAUUUGGGCACUGUCUCAACGAGAGACUCGGUGAAAUCAUAGUACCUGUGAAGAUGCAGGUUACCCGCGACAGGACGGAAAGACCCCGUGGAGCUUUAC
Molecule: ribosomal RNA, 2105 nt
Filed under: Staphylococcus aureus
Lineage: Bacteria; Bacillati; Bacillota; Bacilli; Caryophanales; Staphylococcaceae
Description: partial 23S ribosomal RNA
Rfam family: Bacterial large subunit ribosomal RNA
Source: RNAcentral